GGGCCGGUAGCUCAGUUGGUAGAGCACCAGACUUUUAAUCUGGGGGUUGCGGGUUCGAUUCCCGCCGGAGCCA
Molecule: transfer RNA, 73 nt
Filed under: Candidatus Falkowbacteria bacterium RIFOXYC2_FULL_48_21
Lineage: Bacteria; Candidatus Falkowiibacteriota
Description: tRNA-Lys
Rfam family: tRNA
About the family: Transfer RNA (tRNA) molecules are approximately 80 nucleotides in length. Their secondary structure includes four short double-helical elements and three loops (D, anti-codon, and T loops). Further hydrogen bonds mediate the characteristic L-shaped molecular structure. tRNAs have two regions of fundamental functional importance: the anti-codon, which is responsible for specific mRNA codon recognition, and the 3' end, to which the tRNAs corresponding amino acid is attached (by aminoacyl-tRNA synthetases). tRNAs cope with the degeneracy of the genetic code in two manners: having more than one tRNA (with a specific anti-codon) for a particular amino acid; and 'wobble' base-pairing, i.e. permitting non-standard base-pairing at the 3rd anti-codon position.
Source: RNAcentral